UACGUAGGGUGCGAGCGUUGUCCGGAAUUAUUGGGCGUAAAGAGCUCGUAGGCGGUGUGUCACGUCUGCCGUGAAAACCUGCAGCUUAACUGUGGGCGUGCGGGCGAUACGGGCAGACUGGAGUACUGCAGGGGAGACUGGAAUUCCUGGUGUAGCGGUGGAAUGCGUAGAUAUCAGGAGGAACACCGGUGGCGAAGGCGGGUCUCUGGGCAGUAACUGACGCUGAGGAGCGAAAGCGUGGGGAGCGAACCGG
Molecule: ribosomal RNA, 253 nt
Filed under: uncultured bacterium
Lineage: Bacteria
Description: partial 16S ribosomal RNA
Rfam family: Bacterial small subunit ribosomal RNA
Source: RNAcentral